GACGAACGCUGGCGGCGUGCUUAACACAUGCAAGUCGAACGGAAAGGCCCUGCUUUUGUGGGGUGCUCGAGUGGCGAACGGGUGAGUAACACGUGAGUAACCUGCCCUUGACUUUGGGAUAACUUCAGGAAACUGGGGCUAAUACCGGAUAGGAGCUCCUGCUGCAUGGUGGGGGUUGGAAAGUUUCGGCGGUUGGGGAUGGACUCGCGGCUUAUCAGCUUGUUGGUUGGGUAGUGGCUUACCAAGGCUUUGACGGGUAGCCGGCCUGAGAGGGUGACCGGCCACAUGGGGACUGAGAUACGGCCCAGACUCGUACGGGAGGCAGCAGUGGGGAAUAUUGCACAAUGGGCGGAAGCCUGAUGCAGCAACGCCGCGUGCGGGAUGACGGCCUUCGGGUUGUAAACCGCUUUCGCCUGUGACGAAGCGGGAGUGACGGUAAUGGGUAAAGAAGCACCGGCUAACUACGUG
This 468-nucleotide ribosomal RNA is filed under the name uncultured bacterium. RNAcentral describes it as "partial 16S ribosomal RNA". It matches the Rfam family "Bacterial small subunit ribosomal RNA", at positions 28 to 507 of the family's 1533-position model. The record is from RNAcentral.